ACCCGCUGAACUUAAGCAUAUCAAUAAGCGGAGGAAAAGAAACCAACAGGGAUUGCCCUAGUAACGGCGAGUGAAGCGGCAACAGCUCAAAUUUGAAAUCUGGCGUCUUUGGCGUCCGAGUUGUAAUUUGCAGAGGGCGCUUUGGCAUCGGCAGCGGUCCAAGUUCCUUGGAACAGGACGUCACAGAGGGUGAGAAUCCCGUACGUGAUCGCUAGCCUUUACCGUGUAAAGCCCCUUCGACGAGUCGAGUUGUUUGGGAAUGCAGCUCUAAAUGGGAGGUAAAUUCCUUCUAAAGCUAAAUACUGGCCAGAGACCGAUAGCGCACAAGUAGAGUGAUCGAAAGAUGAAAAGCACUUUGGAAAGAGAGUUAAAAAGCACGUGAAAUUGUUGAAAGGGAAGCGCUUGCAGCCAGACUUGCCUGUAGUUGCUCAUCCGGGUUUUUACCCGGUGCACUCUUCUAUAGGCAGGCCAGCAUCAGUUUGGGCGGUUGGAUAAAGGUCUCUGUCAGGUACCUCUCUUCGGGGAGAACUUAUAGGGGAGACGACAUGCAACCAGCCUGGACUGAGGUCCACGCAUCUGCUAGGAUGCUGGCGUAAUGGCUGU
Molecule: ribosomal RNA, 603 nt
Filed under: uncultured fungus
Lineage: Eukaryota; Fungi
Description: eukaryotic LSU rRNA
Rfam family: Eukaryotic large subunit ribosomal RNA
Source: RNAcentral